UGUUGUCUGCCGCCUGGUGUGUUCUCAUUUGAAAAAUAGUGUGGUGCAAAAUGAAUUAUAAUAUUAUUAUUUUGAACAUUAUUAUAUCAGUGUCAUUUCCAACAGCAGCAGAAAGAUAUGGUGAGUGAAAUUCCUUGCAUUUUAUACACUUUAGAGUACAUGCACUUUUUAUUUAUUCAAUUAAUUCGAUUUUAAAAAGUACAAUUUAUAAUAAUUUUUCCAAAUAUGUUUUACUUGCAGAGCUUAAACAUGUAAACGAAUCCCAUAUAAGUUAUUUCAAUGGUGAAGCCCCGGAUGGUAAUAAGAGUGAAUACAAAAUAUAAUGAAAUAAUAUUUUUAAAUCAACAUUAUUUUAAAUUCAACUAAGUUUUUAUUAUACAGUGUCCCACGAAGAUAUACCCAUUGUAAUAUUUCCGGAGAUAAUAAAGAUAGUUAAAUUCUGUUUUUUCAUAAUACUUGCAAGGACGAGGACUACAUUUAUUUAUAUUUCAAUUAAUUGUUUAUGUUUUGACAAAAAAACUAAAGAAUAACUUUUUAUUUUAUUAUUUUUGAAAAAUGUGUAUAUUCAGACAGAUCAACUUUUUAUUUUCAUUAAAUUCAUGAUUUUUAAUAAUUGUUUAAAGUUCAGAGAAAAAAAAGCUGUCCUAAGAUAAUGGGGUCGGGUGCAACAAUUUUAAUUGGUAAUUUAAUUUACACUUGUAAGCAACGAUAAACCAUUGCUAAAGAAAAAACGAUUCUGAGCGGAGUUCAGUUGAUAGUGAUGUUUUGUCAACAAUAUAUAUAUUUCACAUUAUGGUAAAAUAGUUAAAUAGACAUUAUAUUUUCUUUAAUAAUAUUUGUUUUAUGUACCGAUUUUACUGUUUUUCCUAUGUUGUUCCAAUGUUUUUUUCUGUGUUUCACAUUUGUUGAGAAAAAUCUUAAGAAAAUCAAAAAUGACUUCUCUAAAAUACCUUUCCAGUAAGAUUUCCUUUCAAAAAAAUCAUCAUUAUCAUUAUUAUCAUUGUAAAUUGAAGCUAAAUUGCUGGUAGUAAAGGUGUCCACAGAAAAAAAAAGGCCGUAAUAUGUUUCUAAUACAUUUCCUACUUUUUCUUGUUUUCUUCCAUUUUUUCCGGCUUUUCUCAUUUUUUCGGAAAAUCGAAAAAUGACUUCCUUAAAGUAUCUCCUCAGUCCGAUUUAUUUUUAGAAAAGUUACUGCACCUAAAAAUCGGUGCAAGAUUUCAGAUAGAAAAGUUGCAGAGAUAGAAAAAAAAUAAAUAUCUUUAUAAAACCAUAACCUUCUUCGCUUCACUCUAGAAUCUAAAAGUGUAAAGUUAAUUAGCAUAAUAAUAAUAGUAAUCAAUUAGCGGAUAGGAUUGCAGCCUGUCGUAUAGUUAUAGGUACUAUUAUUUGAACUUUAAACAAUCAUUAAAAAUCAUGAACUUAAAAAUGAAAAUAAAAAAUUGAAACGUCAAUACUUUCAGAAGAAUAAAUUCUAUAUUAUGAUUCUUCAAAUUUUUCGAAAAUAAUAAAACGGAGUUAUUUUUUUUACUUUUUUUACCAAAACAUACAAAUUUAACUAAAAUAUAAAUAUUUGUAGUCCUUAUUCUAAUGCGUAAUAUAAAAACAAUAGAACUUGAUUAUCUUUAUUAUCUCAAGAAAUAUCCUGGUAAUAGAAAAUGAGUAUAUUUAUGUGAAGGAUCCUGUAUAGCUGUUUAUCUAUAGUAUGAAUAAUACAAGCUGGUAUAUAGGGUUGUUAAUGGAAAAUGUAUGGAAUAUUUACUAAAAUAUUACUUUUUUUCUGUGCACAAAUUUUCAACCAACAAUUUUGAGGAAUUUUUAAUAACUUUUUUUCCUAAAUUCACAUCCUUAAAGUUAUUUAAGAAUUUUUCUAUAAUAUAUUCUCAAAUAUAUUGUCUAAAUAAUUUAUAUUUAUUCUAUGAAAAAUUAAUAUAAAUGUUUAAAAUGUCAGUUGUCAUUUGUCACUAAUAGUAUAAGUAUAUUAUCAAAAUUUUUAUUAUGAAUAUAGGAUCCUUGUUUCACUUUGACACUUUUGAUUAUGUAAAUCCGAAUUUAAUUCCUUUUUCAUUGUAAUUAAAAUUACAAAUAAAUUAUCGUAUAUGGACUUGGGAUUUUUAAUUGUAUUUCUAUAUAAUUUGUUUCAAAUUUCCUAAUGUUGGUCUAAUAUGUGCUGUAUAGUAAAGAAUUUUUCAUUAUUUAGGAUAUCCAUACCUAAUUAAACCACCGACAAUAAUUUCAAAUACGUUUGAGUCAAUAGAGGUAAAUCUGAAUUUUCAUUCAACUAAUAUUGGCGGAGAUAAAAAUCUAAAACUGAAAUAUUAUCAAUUAAUUUAUAAGGUAAGCUUUUAGAAAUAAUAUUAAUUAUGUUAAAUUAAUUUUCAUUAAUGACUAUGCUGUGCCAUUCACUACCUAUGUAUUAAUACGAGUAUAUAUUAUUAAAGAAUACUAUCUUUUUAUAGUAGCUAUGACUAUUGAUUGAAUUAUGAUUGUCAAUUGUAUGAACUAAUUUUUAUUAUCACUUAUUAAAUUAUUUAUAACUAUGAUGAACACAUUUGUUGUAUUUAAAAAUAUAAUAAAUUUGUAUUAUAUCCUUUUAUUCAAGUUCGCUAAAGAACAUUAAUGAAAAAGGGAAAACACGUAUAUUUCCUUCUUUAACGACAUUAACUAAGUAUUCAUAAAAACAAAUUAUUCUCCUAAUCUGAAAUAAAAAAACAUUAAAAUGUUUCAUGUAAAUGCUAUAAUCAAAAGUUGUUAAAUACUUAAAGUAGGUAACAGAAUUGGAAAUAAAAAUUAAUUGAAAAUUAUACAUGUGCUCGAUCGAAAUAAACUUAAAAGUAAUUGUCUUUAAAUUUGUUCAAAUGAUUCAUUAUAAGUUUAUAAUAUUGUACUAGGAAAAAAUCACCGUGUAUUCUAUAACAAUUUCUUAUAAAAACGCAUAUGCUUCUAUUAAAAAAAAAAAAUCAGGAUUAAUAUUGAUAUACAGGUAAUCAGAGGCGUAUAUAGGGGAGGAUUUUGGGGUUCAACCCUUCCCCUAAAAUGUAUGGUUGAUAUAGGCGUAUGGCACACAUUGGUAUUUAUGAAAAUGUAUGUGAAUAUAUUAUAUUAAAGCGUUUAAGUCGUAAUAGAUAUAAAUAUUAUUAUUAUAGUCGGGUAUGAAGUAAGAUUAGAUAACGGCGCACCGCUGCGUGUCGUUUUUUCCAAAUAUAUUAUGGUUUAUGACGUUAAUAUAAGUAACUUUACCGUUUUCAACAGUGUCAUCAGUAAGAUACUUUUCGACGUUUAAAAGAUUGAAAUCGUACUUGAGAAAUAGUUGGUACAAGCGAAAAUCGACCAACAGGAUUAGCCCUCAUGUAAACUCAUCAAAGUAUUUGAAUAGACACUCAAGAAGUUAAUCACUUCUUUUGCCAAUCUCCCUCAAAAAUUAGAUUUUGUUUUUUUAAUUUUAUUUAUGUAUACAUAUAUAUAUAUAUAUAUAUAUUUAUUUACCUAUAUGUUAUACUUGUUUAAAUCUAUAAUUGUUAAAAUAAAGUUAGUUUAUUAUAUUAAUUAAAUAAACUCGUUUUUUUAAAACUCACCCCCCCCACCCAAAAUUAAUUUCUAUAUACGCCAUUGCGGGUACUUUCCGUAUAGAUAUUUGAACUAUUAUUAUUAUUUGAAAUGUGCUGUACUAACCACCACAAUUUGCAUUGAAUAAAUUGUAAUUUUAUCAUAGCUCAAAACGAUAAAGUAUUUAAUGUUGGCACGCACGAAAACAGGAUUACAAGAAACUAAUUUUAUAAUAUUAUGUUUUCUUACAUUAAUGUUUUAAGUUAUUGAAUGAAGAUAAGUUUACCAAUUCCGAACCAAAGGGAAUAAGCGAAAAUAAUAACGGCUCCACUGAAAUUUUAAGCGAUUUAAAACCGGACAGUUUAUAUAAAAUUGGAGUUUUGGUUAUAACAAAUGACGGGAACUUAAACGAUCAGGAUAUCGUGUACGGUCACUAUAGAACAAUGUGUAUAC
This is a non-coding RNA of Cinara cedri, 3996 nucleotides long. Lineage: Eukaryota; Metazoa; Arthropoda; Insecta; Hemiptera; Aphididae. The record is from the annotation of a GenBank genome assembly.